RNAcentral lists this ribosomal RNA (468 nucleotides) under uncultured bacterium. RNAcentral's name for it is "partial 16S ribosomal RNA". It matches the Rfam family "Bacterial small subunit ribosomal RNA", at positions 28 to 507 of the family's 1533-position model. The record is from RNAcentral.
GACGAACGCUGGCGGCGUGCUUAACACAUGCAAGUCGAACGGAAAGGCACUGCUUUUGUGGGGUUCUCGAGUGGCGAACGGGGGAGUAACACGAGAGUAACCUGCCCUUGACUUUGGGAUAACUUCAGGAAACUGGGGCUAAGACCGGAUAGGAGCCCCUGCAGCAUGGUGGGGGUUGGAAAUUUGCGGCGGUUGGGGAUGGACUCGCGGCUUAUCAGCUUGUUGGUGGGGUAGUGGCUUGCCAAGGCUUUGACGGGUAGCCGGCCUGUGAGGGUGACCGGCCACAUUGGGACUGAGAUACGGCCCAGACUCCUACGGGAGGCAGCAGUGGGGAAUAUUGCACAAUGGGCGGAAGCCUGAUGCAGCAACGCCGCGUGCGGGAUGACGGCCUUCGGGUUGUAGACCGCUUUCGCCUGUGACGAAGCGUGAGUGACGGUAAUGGGUAAAGAAGCACCGGCUAACUACGUG